Molecule: small RNA, 117 nt
Filed under: Macaca mulatta (Rhesus monkey)
Lineage: Eukaryota; Metazoa; Chordata; Mammalia; Primates; Cercopithecidae
Description: Metazoan signal recognition particle RNA (ENSMMUG00000061339.1)
Source: Rfam by way of RNAcentral
GCCAGGUGUGGUGGCUCACACCUGCAGUCCCAGCUACUUGGGAGGCUGAGGCAGGAGGAUCACUUGAGCCCAGGAGUUUGAGGCCAGCCUGGGCAACACAGUGAGACCCCAUCUCUU